RNAcentral lists this long non-coding RNA (4558 nucleotides) under Sus scrofa (pig). RNAcentral's name for it is "lncRNA (ENSSSCG00050077835.1)". Lineage: Eukaryota; Metazoa; Chordata; Mammalia; Artiodactyla; Suidae. The record is from RNAcentral.
AAACAGUGCAGUGACUGAAGAGAAUUCUCUCCCGUUUCCCAUGAUUUAUCACAGGCGAGGUCACGGCAGGUUAAAAUACUUGAACGCCGCGAUAGCAUACGUCCUGGCAUGGUUUUAUGAGUAGUCAUUCAUAACAUAUUUGUCGCAAAGCAUAAUUUCCAAGAUAGAACCCUGAUCCACAUGCAGUUUUUUUUUUCACAGCAACAACACAGGCGCAGUAACUCCUUCGUGGAGGCUGCUUCCAUUUUCACAAUGUCCAGCUCCACGCUAGAGCUUCGGGGAAAGGGACCGAGGAAGUGACUGGUUCGCCAACUGAAACUCCCUGGGACAGACAAGACUGGGAGCCUUGGUGAAAGGGAGGAGACCCUGUGUCCCCGGUUUUGCCAAAUCAGCCUGGCCCAUCCUCUGACGGCUAAAUCAACACUCUUUAUCCUGUGGCGACUGAUAACGCAUCCACCGCUUCCUGCCAAGGAGGAAAUCCUGAUGGGACAUUAUCAGGGGCGAGACAUCAUCCGUCAGCCGCCGUCACAGGAACCCAGGGCUCAUCCAGACCCCACGCCAAUCUUUCCGCCUUUAUCUGCGCUCCCCAAAUGCCUCAGCCUGUUUGCUGAUAGAGGAAUCCGGCAUCUCCUCUUCUCAAGGACCCGAAAAAGAUUCUUCGAUAGCAAGAAACUAAGGUAGGCAUUAUGGAGUGUCAAGGAAAUUGGGAACGGGAAAUAGACACAGUGCCUUCCAUCAGGGAGCUUCCAACACUCCCACCGGGAAAAGGGGCAUCCGUGUACACACAGAGACAAGGGAAGCGCAUAACCACAGACCUGUAAUGGGAGGUACCCACCUUCCCGCGUGCCACCUGUCAGAACCCUUAGGGCUCACGUGACACCUGCGUGAGGAAGCAUCCUUCUCCCCUGCGUCUGUGCCCUCCUACCCCACACAGAAGCGAUUUCAUUAUAUUUCCAUCUAGGACUUCCCAUAUGGCUCACGACAUCAUUAUAUUUCUGUAGCAAACUGCAAAGCUAUCACCCUAGCAUAUACAGUAGCAUUUAAGUAACGGCAUAUUAAACUGCAGUCCUCAUUUCCAGAUGCUUUGCUUUAAAUUUGGAUAUAGCUGCAUCCGCUCUUGCGUGUUUUUUCAUUUGUCUCUUCCACCACAUUGAGUGCAAAAUGGGUGCUCCGCGAAUGCUUGCAAGUAAAUGGCUGGGCUGGAAAAGGCCGGGGGCCACGCCAGGAGAGAAAGGGGAACAAACAGGUUUCCAGGGAAGGUGGAUUUUGUGAGACAGUGGGAUGGAUCGCCACGUUCCCCUGAAGUAGGAGUUGCAAACCAGGUCUCCAAGGACCACGUUCAGCCCACCCGCAUGCUUACUGCGUUGGCAGAGUGGUGUGAACUUUUCGCAUGUGAACACCUGUGAUUAGCAUCUGCAUCCCCACUGAGCUGCACUUCCCGUCACUUCCUGCCUGCUCUCUGCAUCUCUGGUACCCGCCUGGUCCCUAAGGCCACCUGAGUUUGUCUCUUGCUCCAGAGCAGCCUGUUAGCUGCUUCCCUCUCUGGAGCUAGGCCUUCCUGGCCAAAACCCCUGGAGGAUUAAAGGACAUGUGUAUGGGUUUCCCCUAAUUUCUCAGCCAUCUCUUUAAAUGUAGAUUAAGAUCUCUUCUUUCUGGAGUUCCCGUUGUGGCGCAGCGAGAAUGAAUCUGACUAGUAUCCAUGAAGUUGGGUGUUCAAUCCCUGGCCUUGCUCCAUGGCGUGAGCUGUGAUGUAGGUCACAGAUGUGGCUCAGGUCCCAUGUGGCUGUGGCUGUGGUGUGGGCUGGCAGCUGUAGCUCCGAUUGGACCCCUAGCCUGGGAACUUCCAUAUGCCAUGGGUACAGCCCUAAAAAGCGAAAGAAAAAAAAAAUCUUUUCUUUCAGGGCCAAAUACAGAUCUGGGAAGAGAAGGGGCAAAGCAGUUAUUGAGGACACCCCCCCCCCAUACAACAAGGCUUUAUUGCCUUUAAUCCCCACGACCAUAUUGAAAUGAAGCGUUACUCAUCCCCAUUUGACAGAUGAGGAGACUGAGACUCAGACAGGUUCCAUAACUUGGCCAAGGCUACAGAGCCAGGAUGUUCCCAAGACAGAACUCAGACCUAGAUCCGUGCGUCCCACCCGUUCCAUCUUAUCACAGCUCAGAGCGGCCAGGGAGGAACAGCCAUACGGAACCUCUGUUUCCCCGCGCAGAAUUCUGGGACAGAGCGUGACACGUGUCCUGAGCAUGCGAGUAAUUCCUGUUUAUCUGCAAUAAGGCGGGCGAGUCAUGUGCAGAUAAUCCAAAAAUAGUUUCUAAUUUUUCUUGGGAUAAAUAUAAAUUUUUGGCACCAGACACCCCUUUCAAAGUGUGUUUUGAUUAGAGUUACACGAAAAGGCGUUUUUAUUCUAUGAGGAUUUGCCAGCCAAUGGGCAGAAGGGAACUAAGAAGCCUGCCAGCCUGACCUUUCUCCCGCCCACCAGCAGAAGGGCUGUGCCCAGUACACAGAGCUGUCAGUGGAAGGACGCGGGGUGGAAGUGAGACAUCUGGGCUCAGGCUGGGUCUCUGCCGCUCUUGAACUUGAAACCUAACUCAACCCUCCUUGUUUCCAGACACAUGUCUUAGGAAAGUUAGAUCGAGUUGUGAAGUGCCUUAGCCACUGUUCCUGGGAAAGUCGGUAGAGAAUUGGAAUUCGUCAUCUAGAGCCCCUAACUUCAUCUCUUUAUAUAUAUAUAAAUGCAUAUAUUUUUCCUUCUUAGGGCCGCACUUGCGGAUAUGGAAGUUCCCAGGCUAGACAUUGAAUCAGAGCUGCAGCGGCCAGCCUACACCACAGCCAUAGCAACGCCAGAUCCAAGCCGCCUCUGCAACCUAUACCACAGCUUAUGACAACACUGAUCAUUAACCCCCUGAUGAGGCCAGGGAUCGAACCCACGUCCUCGUGGAUACUGGUCGAGUUUGUCAACCACUGAGCCACAACGGGAACUCUCAUCUCUUUUCAACGUUAACUUUCCUCGAGAUCCUCAACCCAGCAGCAGGAAUGGCUAGGAACUGAGAUAAAGAGAUAUUUGCAUAUGGCUCAAAGUAUGGAGCAUGCAAUUGCUAUAUCAUGAGUUCUCAAGCAGAGGCAGUCUAUUGCAAGGACCUUCUUUGCCCCCAGUUAUCAUAGGCUGUUUUAAGUUAGAAAACCGAAUAGCCACACUAAAUACUGUAGAAACGCACCUUGCUCAGUAAUACUUGAGAUGUCGCCAUAUUGGAUUAUCCAUUUGGUUGUCACAGAAAAAUUCUUAACUGUCACUGAUGAUUGGUGCCGAGGUAGUAUAUUGCCUGUAUUUCUAUUUCUAGUAAUGGGUUUUAUGUGCUAGGUUUUAAUAUCCUUAAGCCUGGUGAAGUGGCACGGGCAUUUUUCAAAGAAAUAUGGUUUACUUUUUUUUUCAAGUGUCCGUGUUUAUUGAGAGACACAAGUAUAUAAAAUCAAGGCAUGAACAUGACUUGAUAAACUCAAUAGACUUAAUCUCAAUAAUAAGAAGGACCAAUUCAAUGUCUCACCAUUGGUUUCACACCCACAAAAACCACGACAAGGACACUUACAGUCUCUCAAAACUGAUGGGUUUUGUGCCAGUUAUGACGGCUGGGAAACGAUGGGUAAGCAGUGAUCUGUUCAGACCCAGAAAAUCAGCAUCCAUGACUCCCCUCCUUCCGAGAGUGAGUGAGGGGCUUGGAGACAAUAGUGAGGCCAGUUUGAGUCAAGUGGACGCAGGCAGACCCGUGUGAUUUGAGGCAUCUCAUUUACCCUCUCUUGGUUUCCCUCAAAUGCAAAAUUCACUUAUGGUGUGGACUUCCCGAGGCACCCAGCAUAUAAAAAACAUCGGAUUCGUUCAAACCGUGGGGGUCUUGUAGACGAUGGAGUUACCCUCCUGCUCUCGUCCUCGCGGGAGAAUCUGGCUUCUGUCGAAUGAUUUAUUGUGAAAGUUAUUGAUUUAGUGAUGGACAGGUGGGUUUCUUUUCUUCCUUCCGUGUAUCCACAGUAGAUGAAAUGCAUAAAAUGCAAAGGAAAGCAACCCUGCCCUUCGGACUCAGCACCCAUGCUCUUCUGUCCCUCAGUGAGAGGUCAGGGGCAGAAGAUGUGACGUAGCCAGGCGGAGAGUGUGGGGAGGGGAAGAGGCAGUCCUAGACCAUCCGCUUCUAAGUGCCUAAGCUCCAGUCGUCCAAGAUUGACUAGAAUUGUCCAGUGUGGAGAGGAGGGCCGGUCUGCCUGGAAGAGCCAAGCCAUUGUCUUUAAGAUAAGAGCUACAAAGGCCUGGAGCUAAUCAUUAACAUAGGUUUUUAUGCUUUGGUUUUUCUUUUGCUCUUUAGGGCUGCACCCAUGGCAUAGGAAAUUCCCAGGCUAGGGACCAAAUUGGAGCUACAGCUGCCAGCCUAUGCCAUAGCAACACAGGAUCCCAGCUGUGUCUGCAACCUACACCGCAGCGCACAACAACCAUUAAUAUAGUCUUGAAUUCUUACUUACUUGAUCCUAGGUGAUACUCAAGAAUAACUCAGGAAUGGCCCGACAGGAUUCAGUAAG